Long non-coding RNA from Bactrocera neohumeralis, 362 nucleotides. RefSeq lists it as uncharacterized. The record is from RefSeq and is a predicted model, not a curated record. NCBI's taxonomy places the organism in Eukaryota, Metazoa, Arthropoda, Insecta, Diptera, Tephritidae. The transcript is spliced from 3 exons.
CUAUAACUCAGAAAGAUCACCUUUCGUUAUGGUUGUGUAAAUUCGAUACAUCGUUCGUUUAUGCAUAACGAAAAGUUACAGAAACGCAUUACUGAAGCGGUAUUGCCAAAAUAAUUUGAAAAUAAAUACUUGAAUUGUUUUUUUUGUGAGUUGUGUGUAUUUGUAUACGCGAGGCGGAGCUGUAAAACGGCAAGGGAAGCGGUGACAAUUGGCGGCCGUUUGUUUUUCUUCGGCACAGCUCGGAUUUUCUACCAACAACACAAUGCUGUGACGGUUUGUCGUCGCGUCAGUCUUUCGACUCAUUGACUUUUUGACAAAACUUGAAGUUUGGCCAUUGGUGACAACGGAGAUUUUGUAUGAAA